RNAcentral lists this ribosomal RNA (770 nucleotides) under uncultured bacterium. Its description in RNAcentral is "bacterial SSU rRNA". It matches the Rfam family "Bacterial small subunit ribosomal RNA", at positions 8 to 771 of the family's 1533-position model. The record is from RNAcentral.
AGAGUUUGAUCAUGGCUCAGAUUGAACGCUGGCGGAAUGCUUUACACAUGCAAGUCGAACGGCAGCACGGGUGCUUGCACCUGGUGGCGAGUGGCGAACGGGUGAGUAAUGCGUCGGAACGUACCGAGUAAUGGGGGAUAACGCAGCGAAAGUUGUGCUAAUACCGCAUACGCCCUGAGGGGGAAAGUGGGGGAUCGUAAGACCUCACGUUAUUCGAGCGGCCGACGUCUGAUUAGCUAGUUGGUGAGGUAAUGGCUCACCAAGGCGACGAUCAGUAGCGGGUCUGAGAGGAUGAUCCGCCACACUGGGACUGAGACACGGCCCAGACUCCUACGGGAGGCAGCAGUGGGGAAUUUUGGACAAUGGGGGCAACCCUGAUCCAGCCAUUCCGCGUGAGUGAAGAAGGCCUUCGGGUUGUAAAGCUCUUUCAGCAGGAACGAAACGGUACGCUCUAACAUAGUGUGCUAAUGACGGUACCUGCAGAAGAAGCACCGGCUAACUACGUGCCAGCAGCCGCGGUAAUACGUAGGGUGCGAGCGUUAAUCGGAAUUACUGGGCGUAAAGCGUGCGCAGGCGGAUUGUUAAGCAAGAUGUGAAAUCCCCGGGCUUAACCUGGGAAUGGCAUUUUGAACUGGCAGUCUAGAGUGUGUCAGAGGGGGGUGGAAUUCCACGUGUAGCAGUGAAAUGCGUAGAGAUGUGGAGGAACACCGAUGGCGAAGGCAGCCCCCUGGGAUAACACUGACGCUCAUGUACGAAAGCGUGGGUAGCAA